GAUGAACGCUGCAGAAUGCUUAACACAUGCAAGUCAACUUGAAUUUGGGUUUUUAACUUAGAUUUGGCGGCGGACGGGUGAGUAACGCGUAAAGAACUUGCCUCACAGUUAGGGACAACAUUUGGAAACGAAUGCUAAUACCUGAUAUUAUGAUUUUAGGGCAUCCUAAGAUUAUGAAAGUUAUAUACGCUGUGAGAGAGCUUUGCGUCCCAUUAGCUAGUUGGAGAGGUAACGGCUCACCAAGGCGAUGAUGGGUAGCCGGCCUGAGAGGGUGAACGGCCACAAGGGGACUGAGACACGGCCCUUACUCCUACGGGAGGCAGCAGUGGGGAAUAUUGGACAAUGGACCAAAAGUCUGAUCCAGCAAUUCUGUGUGCACGAUGACGUUUUUCGGAAUGUAAAGUGCUUUCAGUUGGGAAGAAAAAAAUGCGGUAC
RNAcentral lists this ribosomal RNA (435 nucleotides) under Fusobacterium sp. oral taxon D68. RNAcentral describes it as "bacterial SSU rRNA". It matches the Rfam family "Bacterial small subunit ribosomal RNA", at positions 28 to 478 of the family's 1533-position model. The record is from RNAcentral. Lineage: Bacteria; Fusobacteriati; Fusobacteriota; Fusobacteriia; Fusobacteriales; Fusobacteriaceae.